GCCAAAGUGGCGGAAUCGGCAGACGCGCUGGACUCAAAAUCCAGUGUCCUUAACAGACGUGUGGGUUCGAUUCCCACCUUUGGUA
RNAcentral lists this transfer RNA (85 nucleotides) under Pirellula sp. Its description in RNAcentral is "tRNA-Leu". It matches the Rfam family "tRNA". Rfam says of the family: Transfer RNA (tRNA) molecules are approximately 80 nucleotides in length. RNAcentral also lists the same sequence under 1 other name. The record is from RNAcentral. Lineage: Bacteria; Pseudomonadati; Planctomycetota; Planctomycetia; Pirellulales; Pirellulaceae.